AGUGUACGGCCACAUUGGGACUGAGACACGGCCCAGACUCCUACGGGAGGCCACCAGUGGGGAAUUUUGCACAAUGGGGGAACCCUUGAUGCAGCGACGCCGCGGAGUGAAGAAGUUUUCGGUAUGUAAAACUCUUCCGCAGGGAAGAAAUGACGGUAUCAUAGGAGGAAGCCCCGGCUAAAUACGUGCCAGCAGCCGCGGU
RNAcentral lists this ribosomal RNA (202 nucleotides) under uncultured Clostridia bacterium. RNAcentral's name for it is "partial 16S ribosomal RNA". It matches the Rfam family "Bacterial small subunit ribosomal RNA", at positions 299 to 521 of the family's 1533-position model. Lineage: Bacteria; Bacillati; Bacillota; Clostridia. The record is from RNAcentral.